This 67-nucleotide transfer RNA is filed under the name Murina shuipuensis. RNAcentral describes it as "tRNA-Trp". The record is from RNAcentral. Lineage: Eukaryota; Metazoa; Chordata; Mammalia; Chiroptera; Vespertilionidae.
AGGAGUUUAGGUUACUUAGACCAGAAACCUUCAAAGUUUCCAGCAAAUAGAAUUUAUUUAACUCCUG